This is a long non-coding RNA of Cyprinus carpio (common carp), 3119 nucleotides long. Lineage: Eukaryota; Metazoa; Chordata; Actinopteri; Cypriniformes; Cyprinidae. The record is from Ensembl.
AUGUUUAAUGGCAGAGCAGACAUGGAAAGUAUUAACUUUCUAAGCUAUAGCAAGUGUUAUUCCAUUUUGCGCUCGCGCACCUCUGCUCUAGUUUUCAACCUUUCUGAAGAGCGGAUAGACAUACACAUACACAGACUCAUGGCCAAGCUAGCACUGAACAGCCCUGAAUUAAAUUCUAUCGAACAGGGGGUCAAGAAUCGGUUCAAAUGGAGCUGGUUGCUGGAGACUGUCCAAGUUGAGGGAAACACUUUCUCACUCAAUUGCUUUAGCAAAAUUAGAGAACCAGGCAAAGCUAUUUGCAACAUUUGCAACCACCCUAUUAACUAUGGCACAAGUGGGAAGAUUGCACUCCGGAAACAUAUGAUGCAUCCAAAACAUGUGAAACUGUGGAAGAUCCAACAGCAGAACAUGCACAUUGAGAUCGCACGAGCUGAUAACAUCAUUGUUGCGGCUCUGCACAACAACUCGGCGCAACCCAGAUCAAUUCCUCCUCUAUGCAACCGUGUUGCUCAGGAUCAAGCACUCAUUCUUGGAUUCAUUGCUGAAAAUUCUCUUCCCCUGUCAGUCACGUCUGGGAUUAUUAAAUUGGCUCAAGAGUUGGCCAAAGAUCCAAAAGCACUUGCUGAACUGUCAAUGGACAGGACAUCUGCCUCAUACAAGCUCACCCAUGGUGUGAAGAAGACUAUCCUAGAUGAAGUACUUGAGGAAAUCAGAAAUGUCCCCUUCUCCCUCAACAUAGAUGAGGCCACAAGCAAGACAAACAAAAGAGUAUUAGGUGUGCUUGUCAGCUACUGGUCCGAGAAACAUGAGAGGAUGGUUGUCCAACACCUUGCAGCUUUGGAGCUCAUAUCUGUAACGGCAGAAUCUCUCUUCAGUGCACUGGAUGGGCUUUUUGAAAGGAUGAAUCUCCCUUGGGAUAAUCUGGUGUCAAUUCUCAUGGACUCCUGUGCUGUUAUGAGGGGCUCUAAAAAUGGCUUGGAAAAGAAGAUCAGAGACCGCCGUGCCCCUCAUCUCCUUGACAUCGAUGGUGACUCAUGUCACCACCUUCAUAAUGCCAGCAAGAAAUUGUGCUGUCCUUUUGAGCGUUGGGUUGAGUCUUUGCUGUCAGACCUGCACACAGACCACAAAUGGUCAGCUGACAUGAAAGAUGGCCUCAGAGAAAUUUGCAGCAUAUUUGGAAUCCAUUUCUCGCAGCCAGAGUGCUAUAUUCCACACCGGUGGCUCUCAGUCUUGGAUGUCAGUCUGGAAACACUGCGAAUGUGGGAUGCACUGGUCAUGUUUUACUAUGCCUUCCUGAGCAAUGAAGAUAAGUGUACAUACAAGGACAUUGUCAGUGCUAUUCUACAGAAGCGUGAAAUACAGGGAACAGGCAGGGCCCGGAUCAAGGAGUUGUGGAAGGAGUUGGGGAACAGGUCCAAGAACUUCACAAACGAGGGGAAGAUGAGGAAGGUCAGGAUUUGCAAGAAGGUGCUAUUUGAGGACAAGAAAACCCUUCUUGAGCUCCACUUCUAUUCAGCAGUCCUUCCCAUGCUGAAACAUUACGUCCUGCUUUUUCAGUCCAAGGACCCAAAGGUUCAUAAACUCCAUGAUGAGCAGGAGAAACUUGUCAGGGAGUUUUUAUCUUGCUUCAUCAAGCCAGAAAAAUUAAUUAACAGCAAAGGAAGGAAUCUGUCUGGGCCAAAGAUGAAGUUGCUUGACCUGACAUCGACAGAGGCCCAUCUCGCAGCACCUUUUGUUGGCUCUGAGGCCUCAUCCCUCCCUUCCCUCCCAACUAGGGAGGGAACACCCUGUGGUGAAGGCUUUCAAAACUAAGGUAUGGUAUGGCUUUAUUUAGGUAAAACAUUGAAACAUGUCAUCGUAGGAUGAGAAUAGCCUGUGAAAGCGAAUUAAACACUUAUUUCCAACAUGGUCCUCAAUAUUAGACACGACAUAAUGACAUCACACCAUAACUAUACACAUUUAAUUCAUUUAAAAGAAAAACACUUCCUAAGCAAUUUAUCUUGGAGCAGGCUCCACAUAUACAGUAUGUCUUUACUUAUUUCUUAAACUGUACUCUAUUUAUAAAAGGUAAUCCAAGCCUACACCAGCUGUGCAGGUGACCUUCAAACAAAGCUACCUCUUGACAGUCCAACCCUAAGGACUCUGUCAUGCUUGGACCCAGAUGCACGGGGAAGCCAUCACAUUCUUCCUCAUCUCCAGAAGUUGCCGAACAUGUUUCCAGAUGUGAAGCUUAAUGAACUGGAGAGAGCUGGAUUUCAACAUGAAAUACACAGGUGUAUAUAAUUGUUGGAAUGCCAUUUACACAGAUUCUUAAUAAGUCAAAUUUUGAUUAUUUUGCUAGUAAUUGUAUAAUGUAGCCUGUUGUUUGUAAGGAAUUAUUUUAUUGUCAAAUAAUGAGCUUAAACUGUUGUUUCCCAUCCUAGAUAUGCAAGUGACAUGACACUACCUCAGAUGACAGAGGAGGCAAGAGUUGAUUUAUGGUGGAAUGUUGUGAGAAAGACUCAGAGGUACCCAGCGCUCUGCAAGCUUGCACUGUCUGCACUAUGCCCAUUUCAUGGUCCACAGGUGGAAUCAGCAUUCAGUGUAAUGUCCAACAUCCUGCAAGCCAAAGCUGCAAACCUAAGUGUUGAGACAUAUGAGUCCUAUCAAGUGGUCAAAUACAACCUGAAGGCCAUGCAGGUGUUGGCCAUUCAGCACUACUCCCGGAAGACAAAGGAGAGUCCUGUUAAUGUACAGCUGUGCAGAAAUGUAAAACGAUCGAGCCAAAGGUACAGAGCUCUGCUCAGAGAUAAAGAAGAACUGAACAAAAGGCCUUAUCACUCUGAGAAGCCAACGGCCGGCAAGAAAAUGGCAAAAGAUGCCAUCGUGGCAGCAGCUGUGAGUGCCAGGCGCAAAUUCCAAAAGAAACGUGUAGAGGCUCUAAAAAAGCUUGCUACAAAGGCUAAAGAGUCGUACAAAAAUUGAGGCCUUCUUUUGACAUGAAAGUGUGCAUGUUGCACAUUUAGCUGUUAAAGUUGGGUAAAAAUGCAUCCACCAAAUAAUUUGUUAUUUUUCAUACUGUACAAAAAAAGUUGCACGUUGCACAUCUAGCUAUAAAAUAAAAUGUAUUUUUUUGUUCA